RNAcentral lists this ribosomal RNA (389 nucleotides) under uncultured bacterium. Its description in RNAcentral is "bacterial SSU rRNA". It matches the Rfam family "Bacterial small subunit ribosomal RNA", at positions 28 to 417 of the family's 1533-position model. The record is from RNAcentral.
GACGAACGCUGGCGGCGUGCUUAACACAUGCAAGUCGAGCGGUAAGGCCCUUUCGGGGGUACGACGAGCGGCGAACGGGUGAGUAACACGUGGGUGACCUGCCCUCAGCUCUGGGAUAAGCCUGGGAAACCGGGUCUAAUACUGGAUAUGACUCCAUGACGCAUGUUGUGGGGUGGAAAGCCUUGUGCGGCUGAGGAUGGGCCCGCGGCCUAUCAGCUUGUUGGUGGGGUGANGGCCUACCAAGGCGACGACGGGUAGCCGGCCUGAGAAGGCGACCGGCCACACUGGGACUGAGACACGGCCCAGACUCCUACGGGAGGCAGCAGUGGGGAAUCCUGCGCAAUGGGCGAAAGCCUGACGCAGCGACGCCGCGUGAGGGAUGACGGCCU